Molecule: ribosomal RNA, 414 nt
Filed under: uncultured bacterium
Lineage: Bacteria
Description: bacterial SSU rRNA
Rfam family: Bacterial small subunit ribosomal RNA
Source: RNAcentral
ACAUGCAAGUCGAACGAAGCUUCGGCCUUAGUGGCGCACGGGUGAGUAACGCGUGGGAAUCUGCCUAUCAGUGGGGAAUAACGACGGGAAACUGUCGCUAAUACCGCAUACGCCCUUCGGGGGAAAGAUUUAUCGCUGAUAGAUGAGCCCGCGUACGAUUAGCUAGUUGGUGAGGUAAUGGCUCACCAAGGCUACGAUCGUUAGCUGGUCUGAGAGGAUGAUCAGCCACACUGGGACUGAGACACGGCCCAGACUCCUACGGGAGGCAGCAGUGGGGAAUAUUGGACAAUGGGCGAAAGCCUGAUCCAGCAAUGCCGCGUGAGUGAUGAAGGCCUUAGGGUUGUAAAGCUCUUUCGGGUGGGACGAUGAUGACGGUACCACCAGAAGAAGCCCCGGCUAACUUCGUGCCAGCAG